Molecule: long non-coding RNA, 859 nt
Filed under: Salvia miltiorrhiza (redroot sage)
Lineage: Eukaryota; Viridiplantae; Streptophyta; Magnoliopsida; Lamiales; Lamiaceae
Description: long non-coding RNA (SMIL_LNC007670)
Source: RNAcentral
CGAUAGCAACUUCGUCCAAUUUCCGGGGACUUAAGUGAUUACGUGGAUGACGGAAAAUCCGAUGUGGACUCGCUGACGCUUAAAUGAAACACAGUCGUUUCGUUAAUUGUGAUACGUCGUUGUUUUGAACAAAAACAACUUCUCUUCUCCUUCGGUCGGAAAGCAGCCUAAUGGCCACUACUGGUGCUGCUCUUCCCUUUCUCCAGAUCUGGCGAUGCUAUCGUCGUCUCUUCGCUGGCCGCCGUGGCGCAGUAGCGCCCGACGGCGUUAUCAGACGACUCCGCCCCGCCGUCUCUCCAACUGUCCAGAAGCCAUUUCCCCAAACGAGGACUCACAGACCAAUUCUUCUUUAAGCCAAAGAAUGAGGGAAGAAAGAACAGUUCAAAAUAAAAACAAUCACAUAGAUUUGAUUAAAAAUUUCAGAAACACAGAACACCCAAAUCAAAAAUCUCUUUACAUCUGUGAAAUUCUUUAUGUUACCUUCGGUGAGUGUGAGGGUCGAGAAAAUAAUUAGGGGAGGGGAAGGCUAUCGGAGCUUCGACUCGGGCUGAUGAGGCCGCGGUUGUCGGCGCUCUAUGUGUGCCCGCAGCCGCUGACUACUCACGGUUAAGGCAGAUGGAGUCGGAGCAAGGUGGCGCAGACAAAGGUGACCGGAGGCAGAAUGACGCGACCCAAGGCUGUGGUGAUUGAUUGGGGAUCUAGGGCUCAACGGCGGCUCUGUCAUCGUUUCAUCUGGAGCAGGGAAGAGAUGAUAUACAGAGAGAGAGAUAGAGAAGGAAGGUCAGGGGGAGAUUCGGCAGCAGUUGGCGGCCGGUGUCCGGCGUCCGCUACUGCCGCCAGAUGAGAAGGGAGAGAAAAU